Molecule: ribosomal RNA, 460 nt
Filed under: uncultured bacterium
Lineage: Bacteria
Description: bacterial SSU rRNA
Rfam family: Bacterial small subunit ribosomal RNA
Source: RNAcentral
CUACGGGAGGCAGCAGUGAGGAAUAUUGCCCAAUGGACGCAAGUCUGAACCAGCCACGCCGCGUGAAGGAUGAAGGCCUUCUGGGUUGUAAACUUCUUUUAUGUGGGAAGAAAUCACCUUUUUCUAAGGGUGUUGACGGUACCAUAGGAAUAAGCACCGGCUAACUCCGUGCCAGCAGCCGCGGUAAUACGGAGGGUGCAAGCGUUAUCCGGAUUUACUGGGUUUAAAGGGUGUGUAGGCGGGCUAUUAAGUCAGUGGUGAAAUCUCCGGGCUCAACCUGGAAACUGCCAUUGAUACUAUUAGUCUUGAAUUCUGUUGAGGUUGGCGGAAUAAGUCAUGUAGCGGUGAAAUGCAUAGAUAUGACUUAGAACACCGAUUGCGAAGGCAGCUAGCUAAACAGAGAUUGACGCUGAGGCACGAAAGCAUGGGGAUCAAACAGGAUUAGAUACCCUGGUAGUCC